Loxodonta africana (African savanna elephant) is the source of this 17317-nucleotide long non-coding RNA. RefSeq lists it as uncharacterized. The transcript has 3 exons. The record is from RefSeq and is a predicted model, not a curated record. NCBI's taxonomy places the organism in Eukaryota, Metazoa, Chordata, Mammalia, Proboscidea, Elephantidae.
CAUCCAUUCUCCUGUUGGUGGACAUUUAAAUCGUUUCACUACUAUAAGCCAUGUUGCUAAGAACAUUCUCGGGCAGACUCAGGAUAAUUUUACGCAUAUAUAACAUAAACAUGAGAUUUAACAUAAGAUACACGUUCGCAAACUAUACGAUGAAGAGAGCCAAGAAUUUCAAGAAAGUACAGAAGACCACUGGCUGUUCCGAGCAAAGUGAGGCUACUUUCAUUAGGAAGGAUUUCGUGAAGGCUCCAGUGACAGAGGGACAUUCGUCGCUACAGUAAGAGAUCACACAAUUUUAGUCUUUAAUUACUGUGACCCAAUAGUUUCGUGUGUGUCCAUUCCAUUUCCUCAACUGGACUGUGAGCUCCAGGAGGACCGAACCGGGCACCAACAAGGUGAGUAAACACGUGUGUGACCGUGGAGAGUCUGCGGUGGAAGCUGCAGCAACCGACCUCUAGGCUGUUCCAGGCCACCAGACAGUGACAGCGAGAGGAAAGUGUCGGGGCAAGCUGGGCCUAAAUCUCACUUUCCACCUGGAAAGUCAAGGAACCUGAGGAAACGGGGAUGGAUCGAGCACAAACACCUGCCUCGACGUAUCGCAUCACUUUCACUCACAAAGCCGCCAGGUCAGUAGCAGAAAGCCGAAGCGUGGAAGCGAUCCCCGCCCUGAGGGCAGUUCCCCGAUCUGGCUUUUCCAGCGGCGCCUCUUUGCCUUACGCCAAUUCCGUAAAGAGGCGUUAAGGCCAACCGGGCGGCUCCCACAGCUCCAAAGCCUGACGCUAAAUUGCGCGGGGCGAUACGGUCAGCGGCCAUCUUUAAUUCGGGCAAAACCCCACCCUCACUUCCCACCGACCACUCCCUCCCUCCUUCGCCGGGAUUUUCACCGGCAAACGUAACGCCAUUAACUUUAGAGACACUGUUGAAGAAACGCGCAAAGGGGCCUGCCUAUCCAUGACCCCGGAGGCGCCAAAUCCGGCUACUUUAAACAUGGCGGCUAAAUCCGAACAGCAAAACAACGCUGACGCUGAUGAAGUCAUGCUCGAAAUGGAGCUAAGCGGCGGGACCGGAGACGGGGUAGUCUCGCGAGAUCGAAGCCGGCCUCCGCUAGGCCUUGAAGCCUAGUCUGAGGGGGCGGGGGACGGAGGAGGGAGCGGGAGUCGGGCGAGGGCCAGUGGAGGAGUCCGCCCGCUCUCGCGUGCGUAAGCGGGGCAGCGACGCCGGGCGGCUACGCCGCGGAAUCGGCGUAGGCGGCUUUGGAGAAUCGGCGGGCUGUGCUGCGCCGGGGCUGGUCGCCGAGGGGGGAGGGGAUGUCGGUCAGUGCGAGAUCCGCUGCUGCUGAGGAGAGGAGCGUCAACAGCAGCACCAUGGGGAGCUGUCCUGUGCAUUGUAGGAUGUCUAGCAACACCUGUAGCCUCUGACCACCAGAUGCUGGAGCCCUCCUCCUCCAUUCUGACAAUCAAAAAUGUCUGCAGACACUGCUUAAUACCCCUGGAGGGUAAAACUACCACCGACUGAGAACCACUGCACUAGAUGAUGGAGCACCAUUGAAGGAUUGUAGGAGAUGGGAAAAAAACCGUCCCUAACCAUCUUAUUAGCCCAUACAUAGUUCUCCCUUCUGGGACUCUUAUACCACUUAGUACUUCCCAAAUUUAGAAUCAGAAUUACCUAAGUAACUUUAUUUAUUUUGACCAAGUAUUUGUGGGUUUUGGUGAGCAGAGUUGAAGGAAAUGGAGUGAAGUGAUUUGAGUGUUCAGCACCUUCACCUUGUGAGACUUACUUGUCCUUCAAAGCUAAAUAGACUGAGGUCACCAGUUUCUUGAGUAAGUACUAAAAUAUUUACUUACUUAAAGCUUCUACGGGUACAUUUUAAAGCACUAGCUGUUUCAAAGGCAGGGUGAUGCUAGUGUUUCUUUGCGUAAAUGACAUUUUGUAUCCUUAUAUAUUCAAAUUGUUCAUUCACGUAGUAGUUGGAGUUCCUUCUUUUUGAGGGAGACUUGGUAUAUAUUGUCAAUCAGUUUUAAAGAAUAUUAUAAAUACUUUCAGUAAGAUCAUCGUUUAUGUAAGAGGGGCAAAAUCCUCAUAAUAAUUUUAGUGCUUUCUGUUUAUACUGUUAUAUAAGCAAAACAAAACAGAUUACCACCUCAUUUGUUAACAGCAUUCUGGGGCAUUAGGUGAUGUAUACAAGGAAAAAGUUUUCACCAACUAACACAUCUUCAAACGUCAACAUUUUAAAUCAUUUUUUAAUAAAAAAAAUUUCAUAGAUAACCAGGAGGGAAAGAAACUACUUCAGUCACUCUAGGUUAAUUUGUGUUCUUUCUUAAUUACAUAUAUUUUUUCAUGGUUGUAAUUAGUGGUACAUUAGUGGUUAAUGGUUCUUAAAUCUGGUCAGGCAUGGAAACACUUGCCACCCUUAACACUUAUGACACAUAGGCUUGUUAAUUAACCAGAUUCAAGGUGGGGCCCAGAAUGUGCAGCCAGGAUUGAUAACCUCUGAUAUAUAUUUUAUAUUGUGAGGUAAUAUAUCUGAAAGUACUUUGUAAACUCUAAUUUUUUUUAGAAAACCAAAUCAAACCAGUUGCCAUUGGGUUGAUUCUGACUUGUGUCAGUCCUGUAUGUGUCAGAGUGAAAUUGCACUUCAUAGGGUUUUUAAUGGUUGUGAUCUUUCAGGGGUGGAUUGCCAGGCCUUUCUUCUGAGGUGCCUCUUGGUGUAUUAGAACAGCCAACCUUUUUUGUAUCUUUUAUUUGAAUCUGUGUUGAAAGUUUUGGGGUAGGACUUGGAGGUUUCAUUGCUUUUUAAUUGAAGGAUAGGUAUUCUAAGCAUAGUUGAUGUCUAGUGGACUCCAUUUGAACAAAUUAGAAUCCUAGCCGGGAUGUACAAAGGGGACCUUCUUUCCAAUCAUGUCAUUUCUUGGUCAUAUUAUUGCUUCCAGUCUCUUCCUAUUUCUUCUAAUAAAAAUUUGUAAGGUUAUUGUACCUUAAUUUAAGACCACUUUUAUAGACUGACCUGUUGCAGAAAUUUAAAUAUCUUUCCAUUAUUUGCAGUAUGAGUUCCUAGUGUUAUUGUUAAAAAAUACUGUUUUCUGGGCCCUACCAACAAGACUCUAUGGUUCAGUGGUUAAGAGAUCGGCUGGUAACCAAAAGGUCGGCCAUUUGAAUCCACCAGCCACUCCUUGAAACCUUAUGGGGAAGUUCUACUCUGUCUAGAGGGUCACUGUGAGUCAAAAUUGAACUCGACGGCAGUGGGUUUAUCUGUAAGGUAUAAGUCCAGAGGCCUUAAUAAUAGCUGUCAUCCAUUGUACAAUCACUAUAAUUACUGGUAUUUAUCGUACUUAUUAUGUGGGAGGUGCCAGAUCCUUUAUAUUAUUUCAUUUAAACUGUACAAUGAUCUCAUAAGGAAAAAUGUUAUCCCCAUCUAAGGACUCAAGAUAAAGUGACUUACCUCUCUGGUUGCCAAAGAUUUCAUUCUUCUUGCGUAAACAGUCAGUGCCCAUGGAAGUAGCCGUCAAGAAAUCAAACGAUGUAUUGGGCAAAUCUGCUUCAAAAGACCUCUUUAAAAUUUUAAAAAGCAAAGAUAUCACUUUGGUGGCUAGUUGUACCUGACCUAAGUCAUGACAUUUCCAAUUGGUUAAGCUCUUGGCUGCUAACCCAAAGGUUGGUGGUUUGAACCCACCUAGUCGCUCCGCAGGUGAAAGACCUAGCAAUCUGCUUCUGUAAAGAUUACAGCCAAGAAAACCCUAUGGGGCAGUUCUAUUCUGGAGUUUGCUGUGAGUCGAAAAUCGACUUGACGACGGCACCUACAGCAAGAACAUACAUGUACAAAAACUGGACAAUGAAAAAGGAAGACCAGAGAAAAAUUGAUGAACUCGAGUUGUGGUCUUGGUGAAGAAUAUAUCUUUGACUGCCAGAAGAAUGAAAAAAUCUGUCUUGGAGAAAGUACAGCCAGAAUACUCCUUAGAAGUGAGGAUGGUGAGAACUUUGUCUUGCGUACUUUGGACAUGUCAUUAGGAGGGACCAGUUGCUGGAGAAGGACAUCAUGCUUGAUGAAGUGGAAGGUCAGCAAAGAAGAGGAAGACCCUAAAUGAAAUGGAUUGACUCAAUGACUGCAGCACCGGACUCAAACGUGGCAACUAUUGUGAGGAGUGCAUAGGACUGGGCAACGUUUUGUUCUGUUGUGCAUAAGGAGAUGACUCAAUGACACAUAACAAUAACAGCAACUUAACUAGAAAAUAGGUCAAAGUGACGGCAGGUAUUGAAGUUGAGAUCUGUAGCUAUACUUACAACCAAAAACCAAACUCGUUGCCGUUGAGUCGAUUCCGACUCAUGGCGACCCUACAGGACACUGUAGAGCUUCCCCAUAGGGUUUCCAAGGAGCGGCUCGUGGAUUCGAACUGCCGUCCUUUUGGUUAGCAGCCAUAGCUCUUAACCACUGUGCCACCAGGGCUACAGUAGUAACUCAUUAAAAUGGAAUAUAGUUAAUCCUUUUUAAAUUUUGAGUAGGUUCUUGAUACUUUUUAUUCAGGUAUUUUCCUAAGAUCUCAGGAUUGAAAGAUGUAUUAAGUCAUUUGGUAUAACCAUGCAAAUACUGCUCUAAUGCCCCCUGCAGAAUGCAUACUUGGCAGCUGGCUAUCUAGUCUUGCACUGUCCAGCACAAGGUUAUGUGGCUAACUUAACACUUGAAAUAUGGCUAGUCUGAAUUGAAAUGUGGUAUAAGGGUAAAAUACAUGGAGGGUUUAAAAGACUUAGUCUGAAAAAAAAAAAAAGAAUUUAAUAAUAUUUUAGCUAUAUUGGUUUAAAUAAAAGAUAUAUUACAACUCAUUUUACCUUUUUUAAAAAAUGAUGCUACUAGAAAAUUUAAAAUUAUGUAUGUGGCUUGCAUUAUAUUUCUAAUGGGCAGAACUGGUUUUGCCUGUGUUGAAAACUCACUACCUUGUGAGGAGCAGAUUUCAUCUUUGAAUAGCUCUCACUGUUAUUUUUUUCUAUUUUUGUAUUAAUUGGCCUAUCUUUGAUGUUUAUAUUCAGAGGUUUUUGUUUUACCCUUUGAGACCAAAAAGGAUCACUGUCGAAUGAAUUAGAAUUGACUCGAUGGCACGCAACAGUAGUCCCUCUUAUCUACUAAUUAUUAUUUAAAAGUUAGACUCUGAUAUUGCCCUUAGUCUUUUAUCAUUAAUCAUUUCCAUUCCCUUUAAAUGAUGUUUAUGUGCAGGGGGUUGUGUCUGGCCAACCAUAUUUGUUGCUCUCCUCUGAACUUUCUUUGUUUUGCACUUAACCUGCCGAUACCAGGAACUGAAUAUCUUGCCCUCUUAAAAUUACAGAUCAGAACAGGUUUAUCUCCUGCCUUGUUCUACAUGGUAUAAACCAAUUGCCAUUGAGUCAGUUCUAAUCCCAUGUGUGUCACAAUAGAACUAAUGGCUAAUUUUUUGGAAGUCGAUUGCCAUGCCUUUCUUUUGAGGCACCUUUGGGUGGACUUGAACCUCAAGCCUUUUGAUUAGCAGCUGAGCCAUUAACCAUUUGCAUCACCAUUUAUAUUAAUCUGUUGUAGCCUAAAGUUAAAUGGUCUUUUUGGGCAAUUUUAUUUUCUUAAUUGACUGAUAGAUUAUACUGUCAACAACAAUGUCUAAGCCUUUUUCUCAUGUGCUGUUAAUUCCUUUCUUUGUCUUACUCAAUACUUUUUUAAUUAGAGGAACUACUCGAUUGAGUAGAUAAUAUAUGUUCAUUCUUGAUUCUGCAAUCCCAUUUUUUUAUAGUGUGACUUUAACAGAAACUUUGUCUUUCAAAUUCCAGUUUGAGGGUGAGGGAUAAGGACUUGUUUUGGAUUCACAUAUCCAUGUAUCCUACAUAUUUCCAUAUUAAAUUUCAUUUGAAUUCUGAGUGUGCCAUAUAAAAUACGUGUUACCUUUCUGAGGUUUUGCCAUCUGCAGGUUUGACAAGUAUACAUUCUGUGUCUUCAUCAAAUUGUUAUCUGGGCUUAAUUGAGGAUGGAUCACGGUGGUGUAUAAUUCUGCUGCUAUACAUACUAUUUUUUUUUUAUACAUACUACUUACCAGUUAUUAAUCCAUCUUUUCUUAUUAGUAUUCCAGCCAGUAUUUCUUGAUUUGUUCAUACUCUCAUCAUGACUGAGAUCUUAUUUCAUUUUUUUUUUUUCCUGUUGCUCAGCCUAGAUAGUAUCAACUGACCUAUUCUUCAGAUUCACUGAUUCUUCUACCAACUCAAAUCUGCAGUUGAGCUUGUCAAGUCAGUUUUUUCAUUUUAGUUAUUAUACUUUUCAGCUCCAGAUUUCUAUUUUAUUCUUUUUUGUGUAUAUAAUAUCUGUCUAUUGAUAUUCUCCGUUUGGUUUACAUUGUUCUCAUACUUUAGUUCCUGGACAUGACUUCCUUUAGUUCUUAGAAUGUAUUUAAACAAAGCAGAUUUAAAGUGCUAUUCUAAUGCCUGGGCUUUCUCAAGGAUAAUUUCUAUAGAUCUUCCUUGUAGCCUCCCCCCUCUAAAAAAACAAUCUGAGCCAUAAUUUCUUGUUUGUUUGCAUACCCCCUAAUUUUUUGUUGAAAACUGGACAUUUUGAAUAGUAUAAUAUGGCAGCUCAGGAAAUCAAAUUAUACCCUUUCCCCAAGGCUUACAGUUGUUUCUGUUCGUUUUUUGUUCAAUGACUUUUUUGAACUAAUUCUAUAAAGUCUGAAUUCUUUAACGUGGCUACUGAUGACUCUGUGUACUAUCUUACUGUUCAGUUAAUGAUUAGGUAUAAAUUUAAUUGACUGCCUGGAACCAGUCAAUCUCCCAUUGUUUGCCAGGCUCUGCAUGCUUGGUGGGGAAAGCCUUUAACACUCAGCCAGGCAGUUGACAACUCCACUUUAGCCUUCAGUUUUCCUGUUUGUGCAGAGCCUCAGGGUCUACCGGAAGUGAGAGCUUAGGGCUUUCUCAUGUCUUUCCUGAGCUUGCACACAGCUCUGAGCAUGCUCACAACUCUAUGCAAGUAUGUGACCUUCUGUUUUCCCCAGGAAUAUGUUGGAGCUUAUUAAAGCCCCUGUGGACAUAGGGUCACUAUGAAUCAGAAUCGACUUGAUGGCAGUGGAUUUGGUUUUGGUAUAGACAUCUCAUUCCCCAGAGUUUCCUUUUAAGCUCUUUGGUUAAUCUGUUGUUUACCCCAACCAUUUUCCACCACUUCAGGUGGCUGUAAUGUUAAACAGUUGCUUCUAUUAUUUUUAUUUAUUUUUUUAAUGUGGCCGUGGCAUGAAUGUGGUUUAUACCGUAUAACACAAAACUUACCAUUAGGGAAAUACAUAUACAAGACAAUACAAAAUUUACCAUUAUUGACAUUUAGUAUGUUCACAAUGUUUUUCAGCCAUUGCCACUAUCUAGUUCUCUAAUUGUUUUGACAUAGUCCUCUGAAGAAAAAUGAUUUUGCACUGGAUGAGCUCCAAAUCAGGUCAGAUAAAGCUAGCUUUGUAAAUGAGGUCUUCCAGGGAUAGAUCAAAUAAUGGUAGUUCUUUGGAAAUGGACUUUGAAGGAGCUCCAAGCCUGUUCUGCCCUCACUAGUUGCUGCCAGGCUGCUGCUUUUCACCAUGAUUGUAUGCAGUUGGUUUUAAGGCUCAAAGGCUCCUGUGGAGUUGGGUAGUGAGGGUUGAGAAUAGGACACAUUAAAAUGCAACAAAGGUCACUCUUUUUCACCAAGAUUCAGCUGAUUUUCUUGAAUAAGAGCUCCCUAAUUUCCUCAAGCCUUUGGUUAAUUCCAGAGUUGUGAAAAAGUUGAUUUUGACAAUCUUGUCAGUUUUCUUAUUGGAUUUAGUAGAAGAAAGGAUUUUCUGAGGUCCUUACUCUACCAGUUUCUCUGAAGUCACUCCAGUGUAUAUUCUUUUAAUUAUUUUCUAGUGCGUAUAUUAGAAAACAAAGAUACAUAAUUUAGAGGUGCAUAAUACUGUAUCAACUGUUUAAUAAUACUUUUCCCAUUUAGGAUAUCAUUAUUACUUGUCCGUAUCUAUUUUUCUAAAACUUUUUGGGGAGCUGUUUUUGUCCAGUUGUUUUUUUUACUGUUAGUUACAGUGCUUUGUUGAGUAUUCUUAUAUAUAAAUCUUAUGGAUUUCUGUGAUUAUAAUUUUGUGAAAGUGGAAUUUGCUAUGUAUAAGAGAAUGAAAACUUAAGCUUUUGGUGCAUAUGGUCAAAUUGGCCUUUAGGGCUGUGGUUGAAGUUUAGAUUUCACCAGUAAUGUAGUGCCUAUAUUCCUGUAUUGUUACACAGUACUGGUUGGUACCUACUAUUCAUUUCAAUUAACACUCUCCAAUAGAACUUUUGACAGUGAUAAAAAAUAUUCUGUAUUUGUGUGGUCUGGUAUAAUAGCUACUGACCACACGUGGCUGCUAAGCACUUGAAAUGUGACUAGUCCUAAUUGAGGUGUCCUGUAAUUGUAAAAUAUGUAUUGGAUUUCAAAGGUUAAGUACCAGAAAACCCCAGAACAUCCAGAAUGUAAAAUACUCAUUGAUGUGAAAUUGAGUCAUAAUAAUUUUUUACACUGAAUGCAUGUUGAGGUGAGUUACAUUGUGGAUAAAACUCAUUUGCCUCUGACUCACGGUGACCUCAUGAGUGUCAGAAUAGAACUGUGUUCCAUAGGGUUUUCAGUGGCUGAUUUUUUGGCAGUAGAUUGCCAGGACAUUCUUCCAAAGCACCUCUGGGUAGACUGGAACCUCCAACCUUUUGAUUAGCAACCGAACACAUUAAUUGUUUAUAUUACCCUGGAACUCUGUAUUGUGGAUCCACCACCCAGUUGCUGUUGAGUUGAGUCCAGCUCAUGGCAACUCCCUUUGUGUCAGAGUAGAACUGUGCUUCAUAGGGUUUUCAGUGCCUGAUUUUUUGGAAGUAGAUCACCAGGUUUUUCUUCUCAGGUACCUCUGGGUGUACUCAAACUUCCAACAUUUUGGUUAGCAGCUGAGUAUGUUAUAAUUACAUGGUAAAAUGUGUGCAUUUUGCACUUAACAGCACAUCUCAAUUUGGACUAUAUAUAUUUCAAGUGCUCAAUAGCUACAUGUACGCCUUGGCUACCUUGUUGUUGUAUGCCCUUGAUUCUGUUCCAACACAUAGCAACCAUGUAGCAACCUUCAUGAUCUGGCCUUUGCUUAAGUUCCCUUCUAGAAGCCACAGCUUCUAGAACCUGAACAUGAGUCAUAUUGAACUGUUUGCACUUGCCAUAAGAAAUCAUAGUCUCCUCUUGCUUUUGGGCCUUGGUACUUACCACUGCCUCUGAGAUCCAUAUUCCCCAACACCUAACCUCAUCUGUAAUUAGACUAAGGCCUGCUGUCCCUUCGGGACUUAGUUUAUAUUUCACUGAAUCCUUUACGCCAUCAGGAUAGGAUGAAGCACCCUUCCUUUUCUGUUCUUAUAGCUAUUCUUCUGUGCUUGCUCAUAUCAUGAUAUUUAUCACUGUUGUUGUUGUUGUUUAUCACUGUUGUUGUUAGGUGACUUGGAGUGGGUUCCGACACGUAGCAACACUAUGUACAACAGAAUGAAACACUGCCCAGUCCUGCACUGUCCUCACAAUUGUUAUUUAUCACUGUGUUAUUGUAAUUACCUUCUAAUUUAUCUUACAGUUAGAUUCUUAUCUUCAUAAGUAGGGGCCUUGUUUUUAUUAGCUUUUACAUCCCUAAUAGUUAACACACACAUAGCUGCCUGGCAUAUUGUAAAGUUUCAGUAACUGUAUGUUGAAUGAAAUGAAUGAAUGAAAAAUCAAGAUCUGAAUCCCAUGUUCAGAGCAAAGAAAAACAACCUUUAAAUUUUAAGUUAUCUCGUUCCUAUACUUGCUAAUGCUAUUGUUGUUAGGUACUGUUGAGCCAGUUCCGACUCAUAGCAACCCUAUGUACAGCAGAACGAAACACUGCCUGGUCCUGCACUGUCUUCACAAUCAUUGCAAUGCUUGAACCCAUUGUUGCAGCCACUGUGUCAAUCCAUCUUGUUGAAGGUCUUCCUCUUUUUUUGCUGACCCUCUGCUUCAUUAAGCAUGAUGUCCUUCUCCAGGGACUGGUAUCUCCUGAUAACAUGUCUAAAGUAUGUGAGAUGAAGUUGCCCUCCUUGCUUCUGAGGAGCAUUCUGGCUGUACGUCUUCCUAGACAGAUUUGUUAUUCUGGCAGUCCAUGGUAUAUUCGGUAUCCUUCGCCAACAUCAUAAUGUGCUCAUAGAGUUAAAUAUUAGAAUCUGUUAAACAGAUUAAGCAAUAAUGGAUUAAGGAGACAAAAGUUGGUUCCAUCAGUACACAAUUGCUCAGUUCAGUAAAAAGGGAGGAGCUGGGAGCAUGCAAACUAAGGCAUGAGACUUAAAAGGCGGGGGGGGGGGGUCAAAGCAAAUAUUUGGGAUAUACCUAUGUAAUCUUGUAACACUUUACUGUUCUUGUUACAUUAAAUCUAGAAUCUAGAUAUUUUUAUACCAGUUAUAUUUAAAAUUUGUUAAACAUUUAAAUCAUGAAGUUCUUUAAUUUUUCCCUUGAGCUAUGUAAGAGAUAGUAGGAAUUUGACUAAGAAGUACCAGACAGCUGUAUCUAUAUGUAUGAAAUAGGCUCUCGUUAGGACUGCUAAGGUGUGGACAAGUGAAUUUAUGCAUCAAUAAUAUUUUCCUUAGUGGUCUGUAGUUGUUUUCCAUAUUUAGAAUUGCCUAAACUUUAAGAGAAACAAAAAAAAUUUUUUUUGUCAAUAUACAAAACAAUGUAUAUAUUAAAUCCAAAGAGAACAACUUGAACUUAGCUAUUUAGGAAACAUCAAAUAAAUGUUUAUCUUUGAAAUUUAAAGUUUUUGAAGGUAAACUUCGGAUCUUUAUGGCAUUUUUUUUGUGGUUAUAAACACAGAAAUAGAAUUCUGAUCAUAUUAAGUUAGUUUGGAGUGUACGUGAUUAUGCCUAACCAUUUUAGUUUUCUAUUGAAAGUCUAAUUUUGUACAGAUAGAGGAAAUUUGAAGUUUUAUAGUACAUAGAUGCCUUCCAGCAUCACCUUUUAAUUUUACUCAGAUUUUUGUUGUUGUUGUUCCUGAAAAUAUAUUUAGCAGUUUUCCAAAUAAGUUGCUGCUUUUCUGUAUUGGAAGAUUUGUUACAGGAAGUAUUAAUAUCUGAACCUUUAAAAAUUACAGUGCGAUUUCAGAUCCCAAAGUUUUGCUAAGGAAUUCUUAAGUGUUCCAGUCACUUAUUGAAACCUGUUUGAAACAUGUUAUGCUUUGAUUUUAAUUGGUUCCUAGAAAUAGCUUAAGUAAGUGCAACACUGAAGUUACUGGAUAUUGUGCUUACGUUGAUUAUUCCACAGGAGUGAGACAUCAAGCAAGAGUCAUAGUUUAAUUUUCUUAAAAAUGAAUUUUGACAUAGUAAUUAAAAAGAAUUUUGUAAAUAUGUGCUUUCAGAAAAAUUAUUUGAUAACCUGUUUCUUGUUUAUGUUACUGAUAUUUGCCGCCAAGCACUGCUUUCAAGCCCUAAGGGUAUUUUGGUAGAAGCCUGGGUGAAUACACUUAUCUCUCUUCACAUGCAUGUAAAUGUCACAGUCUUAUCACCCACAUCUAGAAAUAAUGUUUCCUUAUCCAGAGAUUAUAUUUCACACUCAUACUGUGAACAUUUUGUUAGUCUGGAGAAAAAUCAGUGAAUGGGUUUUCUUUAGUUGAUUUUAGAAUAUUAGCAAAUUCUCUAAAUAGUAGUUUGGGGCCAAAUACUAUUUAGAUACAUAUUUGUGUAUAGCGGGAUACUUUGGUAUUAAUUCUGGGAUAAUUUGGUUUUUUUACAAUAGCCAAAUCAUUUUUUGGACAAAGAUUCUUCCUCAGAAGAAAUUUUCCUGAAAGUGUAAUUUAGUCAUUCAGCUUUUUGAGUAUCUACCGUGUAUCAGAAAACCCUGGUGGUAUAGUGCUUAAGAGCUACAGCUGCUAACCAAAAGGUCAGCAGUUGGAAUCCACCAGGUGCUCCUUGGAAACUCCAUGGGGCAGUUCUUACUCUGUCCCAUAGAGUCGCUAUGAGUUGGAAUUGACUUGAUGGCGCUGGGUUUGGUUUUUUGGUUUUACUAUGUAUCAGCACUUUCCUGGGAAUAUAGAGAUGGAAAAGACAAGAUUUCUUUCCUCUGAGAAGUCAGUUGCAUGAGGGGAGACUGGCAAAUAAACCAUAUUUAAAAUAUUGUAAUAGGUACAAAGAAUUGUCUAUUUUCAACCCAGUCAUAGUUCUUCCUUACUGUGUUAACUGAAGCUGUUCUUGUCAAAAGUUAACAGUAACUUUCUCAUUUCCAAAUUUUGUGGUCAUGUCGUGGUGGUUAAGUGCUACAGGUGUUAACUAAGAGGUUGGCAGUUCAGAUCCACUGGGCGCUCCUUGGAAACUCUAUGGGGGCAGUUCUACUCUGUCCUGCAGGGUCGCUAUGAGUCAAAAUCGACUCAGCGACAGUGGGUUUGGUUUUUUGGUGUGGUCUCUGUUAUUUCAUUUGACCUGUCAGUAGCAUUCAACACAAUUGAAUAACUGCUCUGUCCUUAAGAUGGCCCGGAUUUUCCUCCCAUCUUACAAGCUGACCUUUCUCUGUUGUCUUUGUUAUCUCUUUCUCUUCUCAGCUUCUUUUUUUUGGAGUGCUCCGGGGCUAUCUUGACCCCCUCUUCCUGGGAAUCCAGUCCUCUCCCAGUACCAUCUAUAUGCUGAUAAUUCCUGAAUCUGUAUCUCCAGCACCAGCUAACCCUGGAACUUCUGGACUCUACUGAGCAAUUCUUGAAUAGGCACCUCAAAUUUAAGUGUUCAAAGCUGUUUUGAUUUGGAGAUUUCAUCUCUUGCUGCCCAAUCUUUUUCUGCCCCAUUGUUCCCUAUAUUCCUAAGAAAUAUCACUAGCCACUCAGUUGUUUAAGCCAAAAGGAGUUAUCUUUAGUUCCUGUUUCCCUUACCCAUCACAUUCAAUCCUUUAGCAAUGUUGCUGUCAAUUCUAUCUUCAAAACAUAUUCUGAAUUCUUCCUAUCUCUCAUUGCUUCUAUACCAUCUUGGUUCAGUGUACCCAUUCUUUCCGGGACUAUUACAGUAGCCUCUUUACUAGUUCCCUUAUUCUUUUCCUUCUUCACUUAGCAAUGAGAGCUAUCUUUAAAAUGCAAAUCAGGUCAAGUCACUCUCCUGUGUAAAACCCUCCACUGACUCCCCAUCAUGCUGAAAAUAACAUCCAAAUGUCUUACUUUGAGUCCCACAUGAUCUGGCCCCUACCUGCCUCCCUGACCUCGUUUCCUACCACUCAUUCUCUUGUCCACUACUUCAUUUCAUUGUAGUUCACUUACCUUCCGUUUGUUCCUGAAAAGUGCCAGGUUCAUCCCCACAUAAGGGUCUGCUCCUUUGCCUGCAAUGCCUUACCCCAUUCUUAAUUCAGUCCUAAAAUCCUGCCAUGUGUCAGAAACUGUUCCAGGAGCUAAGGAUAAAGCAAUGACUAAGACACGAAUUUUUUUUUUUUUUUUAAGACACGGGUAGACUCUAAGGUGUUUUGUUACGCCUUCUGUCUAGUGGGUUCCUUGAAGAUGGAAAAGUUUCUCUGAAACUUUUAAACUCCCUGAGAUGACUUCCUCUUUUUUUUUUUUUUUAGUUUUAUAUGAAAGUUUACAGUGCAAAUUAGUUUCUAUUUAAAAAUUUAUUCACAAUUGUUUUGUGACAUUGGUUGCAAUUCCCACAAUGUAUCAAAACUCUCCCCCUUUCCCUUUACAACUCAGGUUCCCGUAUCCAUUCGUCCAGAUUUCCUGCCCCUUCCUGCCUUCUUGUCUUUGCUUUUAUGCAAGUGUUGCCUAUUUAGUCUCAUACACUUGAUUGAACUAAGAGGCAGGUUCUUCACGUGUGUUAUUGUUUGUUUCAUAGGCCUGUCUAACCUUUGACUGAAAGGUGGACUUACAGAGUGGCUUCAGUUCUGAGUUAGCAGGGUGUCCCGGGGCCACAGUCUUGAGGGUUCCUCCAGUCUGUCAGACCAGUAAGUCUGGUCUUUUUUUUUUUGUGUGAAUUUGAAUAUUGUUCUACAUUUUUCUCCCACUCUGUGCAGGACUCUCUGUGUUAUGAUCCCUGUCAGAGUGGUCAAUGGUGGUAGCUGAGCACCAUCUAUUUCUUCUGGGUUCAGGCUGAUGAAGGCUAUGGUUCAUGUGGUCCAUUAGUCCUUAGGACAGAGUAGAACUGCCCUGUAGGGUAUCCAAGGAGUGCCUGGUGGAUUCGAACUGCUGACCUUUUGGUUAGCAGCUGUAGUUUCUUAACCACUAUGCUACCAGGGUUUCCAUUAGUCCUUUGGACGGUUGUUUUCCUUGUAUCUUUGGUUUUCUUCAUUCUCCUUUGCUCCAAAGGUGAUGGAACCAAUAGAUGUAUCUUAGAUGGCCACUCAAGCUUUGAAGACCCCAGACAUUACUCAUCAAAGCAGGAUGUAGAACAUUUUCUUUUUGAACUACAUUGUGCCAGUUGACCUAGCUAUCCCCCGAGACUGUGGUCCUCAGCCAUUGAUCCCAAUAACUCGUUGCCUCAAGGUGUUUAGAUGUAUCUAGGAAGUUUCUGUGCCUUUGUCUUUGUCAAGUUGUGCUGACUUUCCACAUAUUGUGUGUUGUCUUUCCUUUCACCAAAGCUAACAUUUGGCUGUUAUCUAAUUAGUGAUUUCCCCUCCCUGCCCUCCCCUCCCUUGUAAGCAUCAAAGAUUUUUUUUGUAUGUGUAAGCCUCUUCUUGGGUUUUUAUAAUGGUUGUCUCAUACACUAUUUGUCCUUUUUUUGACUGACUUAUUUCACUCAGCAUAAUGCCCUCCAGAUUCAUCCAUGUUGUGAGACGUUUUGCAGAUUCUUCAUUGUUCUUUAUCAUUGCAUAGUAUUCCAUUGUGUGUAUGUACCAUAAUUCGUUUACCCAUUCAUCUGUUGAUGGGCACUUAGGUUCUUUCCAUCUUUUUGCUAUUGUGAAUAAUGGUACAAUGAACGUGAGUGUGCAUAUGACUAUUUGUGUGGUGGCUCUUAUUUUUCUAGUGUAUAUUCCUAGGAAUGGGAUUGCUGGAUCAUAUGGUAUUUCUAUUUCUAGCUUUUUAAGGAGGUACUGUAUUGUUUUCCAUAGUGGCUAUGCCAUUUUACAUUCUCAUCAGCAGUGCAUAAGAGUUCCAGUCUUGCCACAACCUCUCCAACAUUUGUUAUUUUCUGUUUUUUUUUUUUUUGAUUCAUGCCAGUAAAGUUGGAGUGAGAUGGUAUCUCACUGUAGUUUUGAUUUGCAUUUCUCUACUGGCUAAUGAUCGCAAGCAUUUCUUCAUGUGUCUGUAAGCUGCCUAAAUGUCUUCUGUGAUGAAAUGUCUGUUAUAUCCUUUGCCCAUUUUUUAAUUGGAUUAUUUAUUGUCUUUUAAUUGAAAUGUUGAAGUAUUCUAUAGAUUUUAGAGGUUAGACCCUUAUCAGAUAUGUUGUAGACAAAAUUUUUUUCCCAGUCUGUAGAUCCUCUUUUUAACCUUUUGAUGAAGUCUUUCCAUGAGCAUGUUUAAUUUUUAGGAGCUCCCAGUUAUCUAGUUUAUCUUCUGGUGUUUGUGCAUUGUUAGUUAUGGUUUGUAUUGAAUUUCAUGCUGUGUAUUAGGGCCCCUAGCAUUGUCCCUAUUUUUUCUUCCAUGAUCUUUAUCAUUUUAGGUUUUACAUUUAGGUCUUUGAUCCAUUUUGAGUGAGCUUUUGUGUAUGGUGUGAGGUAUGGGUCCUGUUCCGUUUUUUUUUUUUUAGAUAGACAUCCAGUUUUGCCAGCACCAUUUGUUAAAGAGAUUGCCUUUUCCCAAUUUAAUGGACUUUGGCCCUUUGUCAAAGAUCAGCUGACCGUAGAUGGAUGGAUUUAUAUCUGGGUUCUUGAUUUCAUUCCAUUGGUCUGUGUGUCUGUCAUUGUACCAGUACCAGGCAGCUUUGACUACUGUGGCUAUGUGGUAGGUUCUGAGAUCAGGUAGUAAGAGGCCUCCUACUUUCCUCUUUUUCUUCAGUAAUGCUUUGUUUAUUUGGGGCCUCUUCCCUUUGUGUAUAAAGUUGGUGGUUAGUUUUUCCAUCUCAUUAAAGAAUGCCGUUGGUGUUUGGAUCAGUAUUGCAUUAUAUCUUGCUUUGGAUAGAAUUGACAUUUUCACAAUGUUGAGUCUUCCUAUCCAUGACCAUGGUAUGUUUUUCCAUUUGUGUAGGUCUCUUUUGGUUUCUUGCGUUAAUGUUUUAUAGUUUGUAUAGGUCUUUUACAUCCCUGGUUAGAAUUUAUUCCUAAGUAUUUUAUCUUUUUAGGGGCUAUUAUAAUAAAUGGUAUUAUUUUCCUGAUUCCCUUUUCGAAGCUCUCUUUGUUGCUGUAUGAGAAUCCAGCUGAUUUUUGUGUGUUGAUCUUGUAUCCUGCUACUCUGCUGAAUCCUUCUAUUAGUUCCAGUAGUUUUCUUAUGGAAUCUUUGAGAUUCUCUAUGUAUAGGAUCAUGUCAUCGGUGAAUAGGAAUAGUUUUACUCCUUUUUUUCCAAUUUGGAUUUACUUUCUUUUUCUUGCCUUACUGCUGUAGCUAGGUCUUCCAACACAAUGUUAAAUAGGAGUAUUGAUAAAGGACAUCUUUGUCUUGUUCCUGUGCCCAAGGGGAAUGCAUUCAGUCUUUCUCCAUUGAGAAUGAUGUUAGCUGUUGGUUUGGUAUAGAUGUUUUUUUAUUAUGUUGAGGAAUUUCCCUUCAAUUCCUAUUUUAUUGAGAGUUUUUAUCAGGAAUGGGCAUUGGACUUUAUCAAAUGCCUUUUGUGCAUUGAUUGAGAUGAUCAUAUGAAUCUCUUCUUUUGUUCUACUUAUGUGGUGGGUUAUAUUGAUUGAUUUUCUAAUGUUGAACCAUCCUUGCGUAACUGGUAUGAAUCUCAUUUGGUUAUGUAUGGUGUGUUAUUUUUUUGAUAUGAUGCUGAAUUCUGUCAGCUAGAAUUUUGUUGAGAAUUUUUGCAUGUAUAUUCAUGAGAGACAUUGGUCUGUAAUUUUCUUUUUUGUUGUGUAUUUGCCUGGCUUUGUUGGCAGGGUUAUGCUGGCUUCAUAGAAUUAAUUUGGGAGUAUGCCUUCAUUUUCUAUGCUCUGAAAUAGUUUGAGUAGUACUGGUGUGAGCUCUUCUCUGAGUGGUAGAAUUCUCCAAUGAUGCUGUUCGGGCCAGGGCCUUUUUUUUGUUGGGAGUUUUUUUUUUUUAUUAUUAUUAUUACCUCUUAAAUCUCUUCUCUUGUUAUUUGCCCAGAUUUUCUAUUUCAGUUUGUGUCAGUUUAGGUAGGUAGUAUAUUUCUAGAAAAUCUUCCAUUUUCUCUUGGUUCUCAAAUUUGUUGGGCUUCCUCUUUUUUUGAUGCCACAAUUUAUGUAAUUUAUUUAUUUCUUAAUCUUGAUGAAGCCCAACAAAUUUGAGAACAUUUGUUAUAGGUGUGUACAUUUUGG